RNAcentral lists this ribosomal RNA (253 nucleotides) under uncultured bacterium. RNAcentral describes it as "partial 16S ribosomal RNA". It matches the Rfam family "Bacterial small subunit ribosomal RNA", at positions 524 to 776 of the family's 1533-position model. The record is from RNAcentral.
UACGUAGGGGGCAAGCGUUAUCCGGAUUUACUGGGUGUAAAGGGAGCGUAGACGGUGAUGCAAGUCAGAAGUGAAAGCCCGGGGCUCAACUCCGGGACUGCUUUUGAAACUGUGUAACUGGAGUGCAGGAGAGGUAAGCGGAAUUCCUAGUGUAGCGGUGAAAUGCGUAGAUAUUAGGAGGAACACCAGUGGCGAAGGCGGCUUACUGGACUGUAACUGACGUUGAGGCUCGAAAGCGUGGGGAGCAAACAGG